This 425-nucleotide ribosomal RNA is filed under the name uncultured bacterium. Its description in RNAcentral is "partial 16S ribosomal RNA". It matches the Rfam family "Bacterial small subunit ribosomal RNA", at positions 354 to 796 of the family's 1533-position model. The record is from RNAcentral.
GUGGGGAAUAUUGGGCAAUGGGCGAAAGCCUGACCCAGCAACGCCGCGUGAAGGAAGAAGGUCUUCGGAUCGUAAACUUCUAUCCUUGGUGAAGAUAAUGACGGUAGCCGAGAAGGAAGCCCCGGCUAACUACGUGCCAGCAGCCGCGGUAAUACGUAGGGGGCAAGCGUUGUCCGGAAUGAUUGGGCGUAAAGGGCGCGUAGGCGGCCUGGUAAGUCUGGAGUGAAAGUCCUGCUUUUAAGGUGGGAAUUGCUUUGGAUACUGUCGGGCUUGAGUGCAGGAGAGGUAAGUGGAAUUCCCGGUGUAGCGGUGAAAUGCGUAGAGAUCGGGAGGAACACCAGUGGCGAAGGCGACUUACUGGACUGUAACUGACGCUGAGGCGCGAAAGCGUGGGGAGCAAACAGGAUUAGAUACCCUGGUAGUCC